CUGAAUUGUAAUUACACUUGUAACUGCAUUAAGAGAUUGCAUGAAUAACCAAUACCCCUAAUUAAAAUAAUAGAAAAUGUAACAAAAUAGAGGAAGUUGCACUGUGUAAAUCCAAUUUAAAAUAAUGUAUAAUGAAAAGGAAUGCCCUUCAAAUGUUUCUAGGUCCAUCCAAAUUUUUAUACAAGCAGAUUCUGUGCAGAAAUUAAAACACAUAUUUUUUCACUUUUUUCUUCCUUUCUUCUUUCACUCAGUGAUAGAAUAUUUUCAGCGUAAGACCUAUGCUCUGAUUAGAAAAAGACUAUGAUACCUCUGCAGGUUCCCUACAGCAGAGCCUUACCAUAGCCCAUAACUGAUCCAGCAGCAUUUGUCAUCUCUGCAGUAUACUUGCUGUAAUUCCCCUCCUCUGGUUUUUCUUUAAAACUAGAUCACACACAACCUUUGAACAAAGAAAAACAAGAUGUUUUAACUGAGGAAACAUGACAUGGAUGAAGCAUAUUGGAUGCAUACUGAGACUGGGAAUACCAGAACCAAGCCAACCUGCAGGAAGAGUUGCAGGACUGCGUGCAGAACACGGGGCAGACAGCGGUGGUGUAGCCUGGCACACGACAAGCCCAGCUACCCCUCGCUCCCUCACACAGCCAGCCCCUGCCCCACUCACCAGCAUCACUGGGAAGAAAGCGUUAAUAGAAAACUCGAGUGCCAAUGCAACUUCCAGUAUAAAGAAGAAAGGUUACCACUGAAUCCUCUAUGAUCAGGAUUGGACACAUGAAAUAAUCGGGAAUAAAACUAUUUAUAUAACCA
Molecule: long non-coding RNA, 801 nt
Filed under: Anas platyrhynchos platyrhynchos (common mallard)
Lineage: Eukaryota; Metazoa; Chordata; Aves; Anseriformes; Anatidae
Description: lncRNA (ENSAPLG00000025540.1)
Source: RNAcentral